UGGGGAAUUUUGGACAAUGGGCGCAAGCCUGAUCCAGCCAUGCCGCGUGAGUGAAGAAGGCCUUCGGGUUGUAAAGCUCUUUCGGCGGGGACGAAACGGUUCGUGCUAACACCACGGACUACUGACGGUACCCGAAGAAGAAGCACCGGCUAACUACGUGCCAGCAGCCGCGGUAAUACGUAGGGUGCAGGCGUUAAUCGGAAUUACUGGGCGUAAAGCGUGCGCAGGCGGUUUGUUAAGACAGGUGUGAAAUCCCCGGGCUUAACCUGGGAACUGCGCUUGUUACUGGCAGACUCGAGUGUGGCAGAGGGGGGUGGAAUUCCAGGUGUAGCAGUGAAAUGCGUAGAUAUCUGGAGGAACACCGAUGGUGAAGGCAGCCCCCUGGGCUAACACUGACGCUCAUGCACGAAAGCGUGGGGAGCAAACAGGAUUAGAUACCCUGGUAGUCCACGCCCUAAACUAUGUCAACUGGUUGUCGGGGAAGCAAUUCCUGGUAACGAAGCUAACGCGUAG
Molecule: ribosomal RNA, 513 nt
Filed under: uncultured Pseudomonadota bacterium
Lineage: Bacteria; Pseudomonadati; Pseudomonadota
Description: bacterial SSU rRNA
Rfam family: Bacterial small subunit ribosomal RNA
Source: RNAcentral